Long non-coding RNA from Arabidopsis lyrata subsp. lyrata, 557 nucleotides. RefSeq lists it as uncharacterized. The record is from RefSeq and is a predicted model, not a curated record. The transcript has 2 exons. Lineage: Eukaryota; Viridiplantae; Streptophyta; Magnoliopsida; Brassicales; Brassicaceae.
CAAUAAUAACACUUAGUUUCUCUCCUGAUCUGACACCUCAGCUUUUUCAGCCUUUUCAGGGUGUGACACAUAAGCUUUUUUAUCCUCCGCUUUUUUAUCCUCCAAUAAGAACAUUUCAUUAAUAUGAUUCAGCAUUAUUUUUUUACACAUCAUCUUUCCGUUUUACUUUUUUUACGCAUCAUCUUUUGUUUCCAUCAUUUAUUUCUGAAUAAAAACAUGAAACUCUGAGACAUCGAGAUUGAGAUCUAAAAAAGACAGAGCAGAAGAUGAAGAGAAAUGGCUCGCCGCCAGUGCUGCUGCAACGCGCUAUUAGAAGAGUAAUGAGUUGGAGAAGAGUCUAGAAGUGUCUUCAGGCGGCUUCAGCGCAUUGUUUGCAUUGUUUGCUCUUCUCCUUGACGCUUCUUUUCGCUUUGAAGCUUGAUCCUGUUGUUUCUCAUUUAUAGUUAUUAGUUUUUCUUCUUAAGUUUGGUGGCUUGACUUAUGUUUUGUAUUGUGAAAGGUUUUAAAUGAGUGUUUUGUGUACUCAAAUGAAUAAAUUAAGUGGUUUAGCUUAAACU